This 284-nucleotide unclassified non-coding RNA is filed under the name plant metagenome. RNAcentral's name for it is "partial contains small subunit ribosomal RNA, internal transcribed spacer 1, and 5.8S ribosomal RNA". The stretch from base 1 to 53 matches the Rfam family "Eukaryotic small subunit ribosomal RNA", at positions 1778 to 1831 of the family's 1831-position model. The record is from RNAcentral.
GGAAGUAAAGUCGUAACAAGGUUUCCGUAGGUGAACCUGCGGAAGGAUCAUUAUUGUAUAACCGAGGUGCGAGGGCUGUCGCUGACCCGAAAGGUCGUGCACGCCCGAGUGCCCUCACACACAUCCAUCUCACCCCUAUGUGCACCACCGCGUGGGUCCCCCUUUGGCUUGUUCGGAGGGGGGCUUACGUUUUCACACAAACUUUGUAAGCAGUGUAGAAUGUAUUUUUUGUUUUUGCGAUCACGCAAUCAAUACAACUUUCAACAACGGAUCUCUUGGCUCUC